AGAGUUUGAUCAUGGCUCAGAUUGAACGCUGGCGGCAGGCCUAACACAUGCAAGUCGAGCGGUAGCACAGAGAGCUUGCUCUCGGGUGACGAGCGGCGGACGGGUGAGUAAUGUCUGGGAAACUGCCUGAUGGAGGGGGAUAACUACUGGAAACGGUAGCUAAUACCGCAUAAUGUCGCAAGACCAAAGUGGGGGACCUUCGGGCCUCAUGCCAUCAGAUGUGCCCAGAUGGGAUUAGCUAGUAGGUGGGGUAACGGCUCACCUAGGCGACGAUCCCUAGCUGGUCUGAGAGGAUGACCAGCCACACUGGAACUGAGACACGGUCCAGACUCCUACGGGAGGCAGCAGUGGGGAAUAUUGCACAAUGGGCGCAAGCCUGAUGCAGCCAUGCCGCGUGUAUGAAGAAGGCCUUCGGGUUGUAAAGUACUUUCAGCGGGGAGGAAGGNAUUGACGUUACCCGCAGAAGAAGCACCGGCUAACUCCGUGCCAGCAGCCGCGGUAAUACGGAGGGUGCAAGCGUUAAUCGGAAUUACUGGGCGUAAAGCGCACGCAGGCGGUCUGUCAAGUCGGAUGUGAAAUCCCCGGGCUCAACCUGGGAACUGCAUUCGAAACUGGCAGGCUAGAGUCUUGUAGAGGGGGGUAGAAUUCCAGGUGUAGCGGUGAAAUGCGUAGAGAUCUGGAGGAAUACCGGUGGCGAAGGCGGCCCCCUGGACAAAGACUGACGCUCAGGUGCGAAAGCGUGGGGAGCAAACAGGAUUAGAUACCCUGGUAGUCCACGCCGUAAACGAUGUCGAUUUGGAGGUUGUGCCCUUGAGGCGUGGCUUCCGGAGCUAACGCGUUAAAUCGACCGCCUGGGGAGUACGGCCGCAAGGUUAAAACUCAAAUGAAUUGACGGGGGCCCGCACAAGCGGUGGAGCAUGUGGUUUAAUUCGAUGCAACGCGAAGAACCUUACCUGGUCUUGACAUCCACAGAACUUGCCAGAGAUGGCUUGGUGCCUUCGGGAACUGUGAGACAGGUGCUGCAUGGCUGUCGUCAGCUCGUGUUGUGAAAUGUUGGGUUAAGUCCCGCAACGAGCGCAACCCUUAUCCUUUGUUGCCAGCGGU
RNAcentral lists this ribosomal RNA (1104 nucleotides) under Klebsiella quasipneumoniae subsp. similipneumoniae. RNAcentral describes it as "bacterial SSU rRNA". It matches the Rfam family "Bacterial small subunit ribosomal RNA", at positions 8 to 1125 of the family's 1533-position model. Lineage: Bacteria; Pseudomonadati; Pseudomonadota; Gammaproteobacteria; Enterobacterales; Enterobacteriaceae. The record is from RNAcentral.